RNAcentral lists this ribosomal RNA (778 nucleotides) under uncultured Attheya. Its description in RNAcentral is "bacterial SSU rRNA". It matches the Rfam family "Bacterial small subunit ribosomal RNA", at positions 95 to 880 of the family's 1533-position model. The record is from RNAcentral. Lineage: Eukaryota; Bacillariophyta; Biddulphiophyceae; Attheyales; Attheyaceae.
GUGGCGGACGGGUGAGUAACACGUGAGAAUUCGCCUUUAGGAGGGGGAUAACGAGUGGAAACAUUCGCUAAAACCCCAUAUGCCCCAGGGUGAAAAAGAGGAAAUUAGUAAUACUGAAUAACCUCUGCCUGAAGAGAAGCUCGCGGCUGAUUAGCUAGUUGGUAGGGUAAUGGCUUACCAAGGCGACGAUCAGUAGCUGGUCUGAGAGGACGAUCAGCCACACUGGAACUGAGACACGGUCCAGACUCCUACGGGAGGCAGCAGUGAGGAAUUUUCUGCAAUGGGCGAAAGCCUGACAGAGCAAUACCGCGUGAGGGACGAAGACUUACUGAGUUGUAAACCUCGGUGCCUUAAGGAAGAAGAUCUGACGGUACUUAAGGUGGAAAGCAUCGGCUAACUCCGUGCCAGCAGCCGCGGUAAGACGGGGGACGCAAGUGUUAUCCGGAAUCACUGGGCGUAAAGCGUCUGCAGGUGGUUUCCUAAGUCUACUGUUAAACCUUGAGGCUCAACCUCAAAUCUGCAGUAGAAACUAGGAGACUUGAGUAUAGUAGGGGUAGAGGGAAUUUCCAGUGGAGCGGUGAAAUGCGUAGAUAUUGGAAAGAACACCGAUGGCGAAGGCACUCUACUGGGCUAUUACUGACACUCAGAGACGAAAGCUAGGGGAGCAAAUGGGAUUAGAUACCCCAGUAGUCCUAGCCGUAAACGAUGGAUACUCGAUGUUGGACGUAUCGACCCGUUCAGUAUCUUAGCUAACGCGUUAAGUAUCCCGCCUGGGAAG